RNAcentral lists this ribosomal RNA (285 nucleotides) under uncultured eukaryote. RNAcentral describes it as "partial 18S ribosomal RNA". It matches the Rfam family "Eukaryotic small subunit ribosomal RNA", at positions 6 to 292 of the family's 1831-position model. The record is from RNAcentral.
GGUUGAUCCUGCCAGUAGUCAUAUGCUUGUCUCAAAGAUUAAGCCAUGCAUGUCUAAGUAUAAACUGCUUAUACUGUGAAACUGCGAAUGGCUCAUUAAAUCAGUUAUAGUUUAUUUGGUGGUACCUUACUACUCGGAUAACCGUAGUAAUUCUAGGGCUAAUACGUGCGUAAAUCCCGACUUCUGGAAGGGACGUAUAUAUUAGAUAAAAGGCCGACCGAGCUUUGCUCGACCCGCGGUGAACCAUGAUAUCUUCACGAAGCGCAUGGCCUUGUGCCGGCGCUG